GACAGACUUUAAGCUGUGCCCUUUUGUUUCCACUUGGUCAGAAAUGAGAGUUGAUUAGACAUCUGGAUCUGCAUAAAUUCUUCAGCAGUAAGCAAAAGUAUAGUGGGACAGGAUUGGAAAUUUGGUGACAAGGAGGAAAUGUGUGUGACGAGAUCUCCUGAAAUAAACACACUGAAGGUGAAGUCAGCUGGGAGAGCCUGACCACCUGAUGACCAAGGUGACAAACAGCUCUGUGGACAGUGGUCUGCCUCUCUCCCUCACCAUGAACCAAGUUGCUAUGGUGACAAAGAUGCAAGAUCUGUCUGUUUAUCAAGACACAACCUGGCUGCAACAUGUUCUGAGAGCCUUAUCUUCCAACAAGAAGCCCCCAUUAUGGCAGCUUUUACCAGGGAGGUGGCCAGCUGCCCAGGUAGCAAGUGCAGCAGUGGGGCACCAAGACCAUAAUGACAGGGGCUGGACUUUGUUCAUUCUGGAACAGGGUACAGGUCUGUGUUCCAAUAUCUCUGCCAAAACCACUGCCUGCAGGUUUGUAAUGGUGAUUAAGUCACUAAGUCCUGUUUGACUCUCUGUGACCCCAUGGACUGUAGCCCUCCAGGCUGCUCUGUCCAUGGGAUUCUCCAGACAAGAAUACUGGAGUAGGUUGCCAUGCCCUUCUCCAGGGGAUCUUCCUGACCCAGAGAUCAAAUCCAUGGUUCCUGCAUUGCAGGCAGAUACUUUACCACUUACCAAAUGCCAUUGUUGCUGUGGUUAUGUUCCCUGUAACACUGCUGUUGAGUUCAUUCUAUAGGAGGUAAAUCCUGGCAAUAGACUUGUGCUCUUACAGUGUCCUGGCCGUACCCUGUUCCCUGUUGCUGUGAGACAUCCUUACUAACAGGAUGGUAGGUUGGUCUGGUGAAGACUCUUCUGGUGCCGCCUGAAUGGAUCGCUCGGUGGAGCUCAGACUUCUUCCUCCAAGCUAACAUGAAGGAAACUAGUGAAAAUUUGCACUUAAGGAAAAUAUAUGCUUAUGAAGAAAAAAAAU
Molecule: long non-coding RNA, 1021 nt
Organism: Bos taurus (domestic cattle)
Lineage: Eukaryota; Metazoa; Chordata; Mammalia; Artiodactyla; Bovidae
Source: Ensembl